Molecule: long non-coding RNA, 831 nt
Organism: Photinus pyralis (common eastern firefly)
Lineage: Eukaryota; Metazoa; Arthropoda; Insecta; Coleoptera; Lampyridae
Exons: 2
Source: RefSeq, a predicted model, not a curated record
GGCAAGGAUACUAUUCAAAUAAAUAACGACUUCUUUUAGUAGGCGAUGUGACAUAAUACAAAACCCUCAUUGAAUGUAUUUCUUUGCGCAUCUGCUCUUGCAAUUAUACCAACUAUCUUAGUGCUUAAGUCGCAAACGCACACCAAAUACACUGACUAUCGUUUCGUUGGAGAUCUUGUGGUUGUGGAUGCCGUCUAUGAAUGUAGAGGAUCAGGUUUGCAAUGCAUAGGUUGCUGUGAAAUUUCCUACUGCGAAAGGAAGAACGCCACCUGGAUAAGCUCAACGAGGUCGAGGUGCCCUGAAGACGAAAUCUGCCAAAACGGCGUUUGCGUCAAGAACUGCGACCGCAUUGCAAAGGUACCUUUCAUUUGCACCACAAGCGGCAUGUUUCCCGAUCCGUUCGAUUGCCAAGCCUACCAUUUUUGUACACCUGACAAGUUGGACGCGCCAGUUUUGCAAUCUACAAAAGCAAAAUGCGGAGAUACUUCGGUGGGGAGUUACGGUUACAAUCCAAAGACGACGUUUUGUAGUGACAAACUAUCGGAUGCGAAGUGUACUGAUUUUCCUGUACCCAUAUGUGAAAGGAUGCUGCAAAAGGGCAUCAUAUCUCGGAACCCAACUUUGUAUUAUGUUUGCCUGAAUCAUCCCCUAUUGAACGACACGUCUAUUUUGUAUCCGUUUCAAAUGGCUUGCCCAUUCGGGAAGACACUUUCCCCAUGUGGAUGCGAGUGAUGGAAUGAUUGCGUGAGAAGCUUUCAACAACAAUAGUUGCAUUACAUAAGGGUUGUUUUUAUAAUCGGAUAUCUGUUAGAGUACAAUUAUAAAACUACA